This 436-nucleotide ribosomal RNA is filed under the name uncultured Oscillospiraceae bacterium. RNAcentral describes it as "bacterial SSU rRNA". It matches the Rfam family "Bacterial small subunit ribosomal RNA", at positions 341 to 792 of the family's 1533-position model. Lineage: Bacteria; Bacillati; Bacillota; Clostridia; Eubacteriales; Oscillospiraceae. The record is from RNAcentral. RNAcentral also lists the same sequence under 1 other name.
ACGGGAGGCAGCAGUGGGGGAUAUUGCACAAUGGAGGAAACUCUGAUGCAGCGACGCCGCGUGAGGGAAGACGGUUUUCGGAUUGUAAACCUCUGUCUUCAGGGACGAAAUGAAUGACGGUACCUGAGGAGGAAGCUCCGGCUAACUACGUGCCAGCAGCCGCGGUAAUACGUAGGGAGCAAGCGUUGUCCGGAAUUACUGGGUGUAAAGGGAGCGUAGGCGGGAAUGCAAGUUGAAUGUCAAAUCUACCGGCUUAACUGGUAGCCGCGUUCAAAACUGCGUUUCUUGAGUGAAGUAGAGGCAGGCGGAAUUCCUAGUGUAGCGGUGAAAUGCGUAGAUAUUAGGAGGAACACCAGUGGCGAAGGCGGCCUGCUGGGCUUUUACUGACGCUGAGGCUCGAAAGUGUGGGUAGCAAACAGGAUUAGAUACCCUGGUA